GGCUGUGCAAUGGUGUGGCUGUGACUGACAUCUGUCAGUCCAGCAAUCACCAGGGUUGAUUCAGCUGGUCUGGCUGGGAAGGUGCCCCCUUCUCUCCCACAGAGAUGUGUGCAUCUUUCCUGAUGUGUGUGCUUUCCCCAAGGCUGCUCUCUGUACAAGAAGACUGUCUUUGUACAAAAUCUUCUAAUAUCUGUGCCCUACUAGUAGAACCUCCAAGCAAGCUCUCAAUGCUGGGAUGUGUUUUCCUAGCACUGCAGAUAGAGCCUCUAACCUA
RNAcentral lists this small RNA (274 nucleotides) under Rattus norvegicus (Norway rat). Its description in RNAcentral is "7SK RNA". It matches the Rfam family "7SK RNA", at positions 1 to 292 of the family's 331-position model. Rfam says of the family: 7SK was discovered as an abundant small nuclear RNA in the mid-70s but a possible function has only recently been suggested. Two independent studies have found that 7SK RNA binds the CDK9/cyclin T complex (known as elongation factor P-TEFb). P-TEFb activates transcription by phosphorylating the C-terminal domain of RNA polymerase II. Lineage: Eukaryota; Metazoa; Chordata; Mammalia; Rodentia; Muridae. The record is from Rfam by way of RNAcentral.